This is a long non-coding RNA of Corvus hawaiiensis (hawaiian crow), 1529 nucleotides long. RefSeq lists it as uncharacterized. The transcript has 3 exons. Lineage: Eukaryota; Metazoa; Chordata; Aves; Passeriformes; Corvidae. The record is from RefSeq and is a predicted model, not a curated record.
CUUGCUCUAAUUUAACUUGUUGCUUAUUUUGCUGUCAACAGUUGAGGACAAUUGACCCUUUCCCUCACCUAACAUCAUCUGCAGCAUCUGAAGGCUGCCAGCACUGCAGCCCCCAUCCCCUCUCCUGCAUUGCUUCUCCGUCUGCUCAGAGCUGUCACCUCCUGCUUGUGGGGACAAAACCAUGUUUAAAGAAAUGUUCCCAGAAGAUACCUAAGCAGCCCAAGAAGCAAUUGCUAUUGCAGUAAUCAUACCCAGGAUUGUGGAGUGAGCAGGACCUCAGGGAGCUAGAGUUUUCAACAGAGUUAGUUGGCUGCCUGCUGCUGGAGGAAAUCUAGGCAGUUACUCGAGACACAACCAUGACUUUGUGUAGAUUUUCAGUUAACAGCAUUUUCCAUGGCCUUUCUUUUUGAGGUCCCAUUUCUAAACUGCUGUCAGCCUGGACCUCAUCACGGCCAGCUGUACAGGAUUCCUGCAGUGCAUGCUGCUGUGCCUGUCUGCAGCUCCAGCUCUCAUGCCCAUGUGCUGAAUGGGCACUGUUUGCUGAGGCACUGUGGGACACCUUGAGCAUGAGAAGACAAUGAAGGAUUACCUUUUCAGGGUAAUCCAUCUUCUUAGCUUUAUUCAAGUGUUUGUGCACCUUGCAGGUGAGUGCAGUUUCACCUGAGGAGGUUGUUGUGUUUGUGUGAGGAGGUUGUUCUGUCUAUGUUCAGCGAUCUAUGCUGGUGACUUGUUGAUGUCUUCUGUAGUUUAUGGGAUGUUUGCUAGACCUCCUAGGCCUGAAAGAUUUUGUCAUCGCUUAGAUGAUUCUAAGUAGUGGUAACAGUGCAAUACCAAAAGGACAUAUACUUCAUGCUGAAAUUCACUUCCUGUCCUUCAAGAUAUAUAUUAAACAGACUUUAAAAGGAAAGUUUUAAGUGAACUUUGUUAUCUGAGGGUAAAACUCAGAGUCUGGAUAAACAAGAGAAUAAAUCCAACAGUACAUUAGGAAAGAGGGAGUAAUUAUUAUUUUAAAAUGUAACCUCAUGAAUUUCUUAUCUAAACUGGAAAUUCCUUAAAGACAGAAACGUGUUUGAGCUCUGCAGUACAGAUGUUCCCUCCAUUUUACAAGUACAAGCACAGGGGUACAGACAGAGGGAAACUAAAUGACAGACAUGAGAAAAAAAGUGCUGAGGUGCAGAUUCAGCUGUAAAUUAAUCGAUGGAAGCAGAGAGAGAUGGGGGACAGGGAGUCCCUCUGGGAGAUGGUCUGAAGUGGAGCUCUGGGUGACAGCGGCUGGAGCCACCACAUAGCCCCAAACUUCCCCUGAGCUCUGAGCAUGAUCUUACAGCAACUGUCUCGGGCUGAAAUUCUGGGAGGAAUGGGGCUAGGAAAACCCCUAUGGAUACCAAAGCCACUGCUGGCACACACGGCCAAGGAGCAAGUUGCCAACAUUUUCCUACAGUUUUCUUCUACAUCGUUUGCUCCCACUGCUGCUACUGAUUUCCACGAGAUGGAGCUAUUCUAACGUGGAUUUGACUUGGGAACACGUG